RNAcentral lists this long non-coding RNA (3562 nucleotides) under Pongo abelii (Sumatran orangutan). Its description in RNAcentral is "lincRNA". Lineage: Eukaryota; Metazoa; Chordata; Mammalia; Primates; Hominidae. The record is from RNAcentral.
AGCCCUCCGCUUCGCCAGGUGGACCGGGCAGGAGCCUCUUGGGAAGGCAGCGACCCACAUCUGUGUGCACCUUUGUGGAUUUCACGUUCCGGACGCAGGCGACCAAGCCAGAGCCAGCACUGUCAUACGCAGGGCACCUGCUGAGCCAUGUGACGUGCUGCUCUUUGCCAGCCCUGAUCGCCUUCCUUUCUGGCAGGACUUGCGCUUCACACUGGACCUUGAGGCCCCAUGGAGAUCUGCCAUUUUGGGCAGGUUCUGCUCAUGGUGCCAGUAACUUCACCUAGGAAAAGAGCGACAACUUCAAGCCCACAUGGCCCAUCUGAUUUUCAUCACACAGGUCCCCGCAGGAGAAUUUCCAUGGCAUUUCUCACUCUUUGUUUGCAAAGAAUUUCUUUUUUAUCUUUUUCUUUUUCUUUUUUCUUUUCUUUUUUUUUUUUUUUUUUUUUUUUUUGAGGCAGAUUCUCUCUCUGUUGCCAGGCUGGAGUGCAGUGGCACGACCUCAGCUCACUGCAACCUCCGCCUCCGCCUCCUGGGUUCAAGCAAUUCUCCUGCCUCAGCCUCCCGAGUAGCUGGGAUUACUGGCAUGCACCACAACGCUCAGCUAAUUUUUGUAUUUUUAGAAAAGACAGGGUUUUACCAUAUUGGCCAGGCUGGUCUCAAUCUCCUGAGCUCGUGAUCCACCUGCCUCGGCCUCCAAAGUGCUGGGAUUACAGGCGUGAGCCACCACACCCAGCCUAAGAAUUUCUUAGAAUUAAUAUCUGCACUUGGCCCCACAUCCUCUGAGUGAUAAAUUAGAACUGUCACUUUAAUUGUUGAGAGAGGAUAUUCAGAGAAUAGUGGGUGAUUUUACAAGCAAGGAUAGGUUUGGGGAGCACGUUCCGGGUGCAUUCUCAGGGUCUCGUGCAUUCUUUUAGACAUUGAAGACAUCCUGAUCUCCAGUGGAAGCAGAGCCAUAGUCAUACCCCUUAUCCACCGGGGACGAGUUCCAAGACCCCCAGGGAAUGCCUGAAACCUCGGAUAGUGCUGAUCUCUAUGGAUCUUGUGCACAAAUUUAUUUUUCCCUCUUUACAACUUCAUAGAUUGAAGGUUCAUUCUUACCAAAGAUCUUAGCAACCUUAGCUUAUAAUUCCUUUUCUUUCCUGAUUAAGUGGAGAACUUUCACCUUUUCACUAAAAGAAAAAAAAAGUGCUUUACGGCUGCUUUUGCCACGUGCACAUGGUCUUUUGGGACCAUCCUUAAGUCAAAUAAGGGUGACCUGGAUGCAAGCAUUGUGACACAGAGAAAGUCCAGCUCACCACCAAGAUGGCUACUGAGCCGCUGGUGGGCAUGGAGUGUCGUGUCUGCAGCGUGAACAUGCCGGGCAAAGGAAUAAUUCAUGUCAGGGAUAAGGUGGAGAAGGACCAUGCCAGGCUUCAUCACGCUACUCAGAAUGGCACACAGUUUAGAAAUUAUAAAGUGUUUAUUUCUGGAGUGAUCCAUUGCAUAUUUUCAGACGGUGGUUGAUCAUAGGUAACUGAAAGCAAAACCUGACUGAAAGGGGCUGCUGUGUUCAUCUCAGCAACGCUGACGCCCUUGAGGCCAGAAGAGUAACCACCAGUCUGGUACCUGAGCACCUGGCUGUAAGCCCACCCUCCAUUUCUGGCCAGGGCCGAGGAAUUCUCUCUUCUUCUCUUUAUUUUCCUCUUGAUUUGAGAAGGUCAACUCUGAGCAUGCUCUAAACACAAAUCAGCAUCUCUACACUUCUUUGGCACCAGGUGUUGCUACUGUCUUUCUGAUUAGAAAAAAAGAAAUAUCCAGGAAUUCUGGAAGACGGUGAUUGAUUUGCAGCUAUGCUGCAAUGGAGCUAAGAAUCGUUAGCACAACCCGUGCUGGUGUUCGACAAGAUGCCCAAUCAAUUCAUCCGAUGACAGGUGCGUUGUGUCUGCGAUGCGCGAAGCCGCAGAGUCAGGUGCUGGCCAGGCUCCAACAGGAGCAAGGAACAAGACUCCCCAGGGGCUCCUGAUCCACAGAAGGCAGGGACGCCCACAAAUAUACCAUGAGUAAAUAGUUCCAAUGUGAAGAAGACUGAAAAUGCCACAGAAGUGUGAACCGAGUGUUUUGAAAUUCUUUCUGCUGAAGGGAUUGAGAAGAACUCUUCCAUAAAGGAGCAUGACCGAGCCAUGAGUUAUAAUAUACACAUGCAUAUAGAAAGAGCAUAGGAAUACAGUUGCAGAAGGGCAUCAAAGCAGAAAACACAGAGGGAAUGACUUGAGGAAGCUGAGGACCAAGAGCAGUGCUAGCCAUGCCAGUGACUGUGGUCACUGAGAAGCUGGAUGAUGGAUGUUUGAGUGACCGUCAGGAGGAUCAGCAUGGUACCAGGAGGAUCAGCAUGGGACGAGGAAACAGCAGGCGAGUGAAUGUGAACUCGACUCUCAACAGGGAGAUGACGUGGGUCUCGGAAACCUACAGAUCGGAGUGGUUGCUGUCAAGUCAUGGCAGAGCUCUUACUGCACUGUGGAGGGAACAUCUGUGUUUUUGUCCUCCUGGAACCUAGUCCCCCUUUCCUGGAGGCAGCAUCCCAUUUGACCUGUGUGGGUCCAACCCCAUCUCUCUCCUGCAGCAGUGGCAUGGGACCCGGGGCUGGGCCAUUCGCAGCAUUGCCACAGGCAGCAAUGGUGAUUGAUCUAGGAGUUGAUCAUUGAUCCUAACUGGGUGCUCAGGCCAAGGGGAUUGAUUCUUGGUAUUUUUUAAACUCUUUUUUCCACUGGAAUUAUAGCUAAUAUGAUGAAGCCUAGAUAUACUGCGUAUCUGGCUUUUAGACAGGGCAAAACUGCCUAGAAAUGAAAAUGAAGUCACCACCUGUGAAAGCAGAAAUAAAAGCUUGAGAGAGACUGCGUCCUGGUGAGAAUUUCUGAACCCCUUGAUCCAGCGAUGCCUGAAGCCAGAACUACUUGUAAACUUUUCAGUCAUGCAAUCCUGUCACUUCUCUUUGUUCUUAAAUGCCUUUUGUAUGGUUUCUGCCACUGACCACAGAAACGUCCUUCACUAAUAGGGAAGCAGAGUUACCCCAUUUGAAAGCCUCAGAAGGAAGAUGGCAUUCAUGCAAAGGAAGCAUGCUUUUGCUCUCACUUCGCGAGAGAAAGCCUGAAAAUGAAGCCAAUCUCAUUUUCUUUCAGAGAUGAGUCUCUUGAUCAGAGAAUGCCUCAGUUCCCUGUAUCUAAAUUUUAGCAAGUGAGAGAAUGCCUCCGUCCCCUGUAUCUGAAUUUUAGCAAGCAAGAGAAUGCAUUUAGGACAAGCAACAGCAAUGGCUCCAGUGUGUUCUUGGCUGCUCUGUUUCUAAAUGAAGAUUCACCUGGAGGCAGCCUUUGCUGCAGGGACACCCAGAUCUGACCUUGUCCUUGUUCUUUUCAAUCAUUUUAGCAAGGGCUCAGAGCCUACUGAUCCGAUUUAGGGAUGACCCAUGAAAGCAGAUAUUUAGAUAAUAUUUUUACAAUACAGAAGUUCCCGACUGCCUGCAGCAUUAGGUUAGAACUAGUGAGAUAAAAAUAUAAUGAAAAUAAUAGAAAGCUUUGACCCUCAGAUU